This 251-nucleotide ribosomal RNA is filed under the name uncultured bacterium. RNAcentral describes it as "partial 16S ribosomal RNA". It matches the Rfam family "Bacterial small subunit ribosomal RNA", at positions 524 to 776 of the family's 1533-position model. The record is from RNAcentral.
UACGGAGGGUGCAAGCGUUAUCCGGAUUCACUGGGUUUAAAGGGUGCGUAGGCGGCGCGGUAAGUCGGGUGUGAAAUCCGGUCGGGCUUACACCCGAACUGCAUUCGAUACUGCGUGCUUGAGGACUGGAGAGGAGACUGGAAUUACGGUGUAGCAGUGAAAUGCGUAGAGAUCAUAGGAAGACCAGUGGCGAAGGCGGGUCUCUGGACAGUUCCUGACACUGAGGCACGAAGGCCAGGGGAGCAAACGGG